UACGGAGGGUGCAAGCGUUAUCCGGAUUCACUGGGUUUAAAGGGAGCGCAGGCGGAUUGGUAAGUCAGUGGUGAAAGCCUUAAGCUUAACUUGGGAACUGCCAUUGAUACUAUCAGUCUUGAAUAUUGUUGAGGUUUGGGGAAUGGGUCAUGUAGCGGUGAAAUGCGUAGAUAUGACGCGGAACACCGAUUGCGAAGGCAGCAGGCUGGACAAAGAUUGACGCUGAGGCGCGAAAGCGUGGGGAUCAAACAGG
RNAcentral lists this ribosomal RNA (253 nucleotides) under uncultured bacterium. RNAcentral's name for it is "partial 16S ribosomal RNA". It matches the Rfam family "Bacterial small subunit ribosomal RNA", at positions 524 to 776 of the family's 1533-position model. The record is from RNAcentral.